RNAcentral lists this ribosomal RNA (228 nucleotides) under Dysdera gomerensis. RNAcentral describes it as "partial 12S ribosomal RNA". The record is from RNAcentral. Lineage: Eukaryota; Metazoa; Arthropoda; Arachnida; Araneae; Dysderidae.
CACUCGUUAAUUUUGNCUUGAAAACUCAGCUUAUAGACCGCCGUCANAACUAUUUUUACAAAAAUNACUUUACAUAUGACGUACAAUUAAGUGUCAGGUCAAGGUAUAGCCUAUAUUCAAGUUCAAAUAAGUUACUAUAAACACAAUUUAUAGAAUUAAGUAAAAACAACAUAAAAAAGGAUUUAACAACAAUAUAUUAAUAAUAAUUAAAUAUGAAAUUGUUUUAAC